GAACAGGAUGGACGUGCACCAGGCGGACAUGCACCUGAGCAGAGAAGCAUCUAGGAUGAUGGGCAGGAAUGUGAAAGGUCAGAGGAUAAAAAGACAAAUGAAUAAAGAGCUUAAACAAAGGUAAUUAAGGAAAGAAGAAUGGCAGAAGGUUAAGAAGAGGAAGGCCUUAGCUUUGGAACAUUCUGAACCAGGUCAGUUCAGCUGCAGCUGAAGCCACGGUGGUGUCAUACAGUGUUCGCAAGACAAAUCUCGCAGAUGCAGAAGGUAAGCCACUUAUUAAGCUUGAUUCAGCCUUGCCACUUUUUUGGGGUUAUUCUCUGAGGUCAACUACACUGGUAUUGGAUAAGCGGUCCAGCAUAUCAGCAAAGUGAAACAUUACAUUAGAAGUGGUUGUGUAUCUAUUUUCUACUUAAUGAAUAAACAUAUACCACUUGCUGAACAAAUUAUAUAUUCCUCUUUUCAGAAAACACCCAUGAUUUAAAAUUAAAAGUUUCACACUUGAGUUUAGGAUGAACGCCUUUUGCGUUUGAAAGCAGUAAAAAUGAGAAUCUUUCUUAGCAAUAGUGCCAUAUCUCAUUAAAAAGAAUAACAGGAAACUCAGUUAUCUCAUGCUUAUUUGCACAUUGAUGUAUUUAUUUCAUGUGUGUCUAUAUAUGCAUAUAUAAAUAAAAAUAGUGUUGUCUCAUGGGAUGAAUAGUCAGUGAAUAUCAUUCACACAUACUGAGAUUGAACGGUUAAAUAUUUUAAAAGAAAAAACAUUUUUAAAAAGAACACACAUAAGAACGUUGGUGAGAAAUGUUUAAAAAUACAGUAUAUAUCCCUACAUUUGUAUCAGGAAAUUCAUACUGACUGAAAAUGUAGCUAAGUAUGUCCUUACAUCAUCAACACUGUCUGUCAACAUAACCACCUUAUAAUAGUCUUAUUCUCAUGCAGCUAAGUCACUGCGACUCAGUAUCGGUCAGUCUCUCAUGAGCAGUACAACUAUCUGUACUGUACUUUUAAAUCCAGUUGUCACGGAAUUGCAAACUGCCUCAGCAUCAGGAACUGC
This 1048-nucleotide long non-coding RNA is filed under the name Callithrix jacchus (white-tufted-ear marmoset). Its description in RNAcentral is "lncRNA (ENSCJAG00000083196.1)". The record is from RNAcentral. Lineage: Eukaryota; Metazoa; Chordata; Mammalia; Primates; Cebidae.